This 1179-nucleotide ribosomal RNA is filed under the name Triticum aestivum (bread wheat). RNAcentral describes it as "partial small subunit ribosomal RNA". Lineage: Eukaryota; Viridiplantae; Streptophyta; Magnoliopsida; Poales; Poaceae. The record is from RNAcentral.
AUGGUUUGGAUCUCCUUAAGAAAGGCAUUGUUUGGAGGAUUGGUGAAGGUGAUAAAGUCAGAGUGUGGAGAGAUAAUUGGAUCCCAAGGGGGAAAUUUAAAAAUCACUGGGAAAAAAUCUCGUACUAGGAUAAAGUGGGUCUCCGAACUGAUCGAUCCAGUGACAAGGACAUGGAAUGAGGAACUGAUUAGGAAAAUAUUACUACCUCAUGAUGUUGACGAAGUGCUAAAAAUUCGCCUUCCACAGCCUACCUCUGAGGAUUUUAUAGCAUGGCACUUUGAACGCUCAGGUGUUUUUUCGGUUCGCAGUGCGUACAGGCUAGUCGUUAAUGACAAGGAGGCGAAUCGAGAUCUGGGACAAAGCAGUACGGCGCCAACUGGAGAAAGAAAGAUUUGGAGCGUGCUUUGGAAAGCAAAUGUCCCUCCCAAGAUUAGAAAUUUUGGGUGGCGUUUGGCGACAGAGUCACUCGGAGUUCAGACAAGUAGACAUAAGAGAGGGUUGGAGCUAUUCCGUACAUGCUCUAUUUGUGGGAUGGAACCAGAAGAUGGAUAUCACGCAGUCAUGAGAUGCACAAAAGCUAAAGCCCUGCGUGACACCAUGCGUGAGGUCUGGAACCUUCCCCGGGACACUGAUCUCACAUGUACGGGGCGUGAGUGGGUCCUUCUAACUCUUGAUAAGGCGAAUGAGGAGGAGCGUACACACCUCCUCUUCAUCUGGUGGCGAGCGUGGCACCUUAGAAAUAACAUUAUAUUUGGUGACGGGAAAGAUACAAUAAAGGCAUCAACAGAUUUCCUACAAAGUUAUGCUAGCUCCUUUGCGGCGAUUAGAGCGGGACAGUCGCUUCCUGACUUUAAAAGAAAAGGAGAAGUGAUGCCAGGCAUUUUACCCCGUGAGACUAAACAGAAAGAUGCAGAUUAUAAAUGGGUCAGACCUAACUCAGGUUGGCUCAAACUGAAUGUUGAUGCAAGCUUUAUUCAGGAAACAAACCAUGGAGCUUGGGGGGCGGUUCUACGAGAUACAAAUGGGGCGGUGAUUGGAUCUGCUUGGAACACAAUCCGUAACUGCGCUAGUGCUGAAGCGGCCGAAGCUGAAGCUUGUCUUGAAGGAAUCCGAGAUACCAUGCAGUUCAUAGACCGGCCAGUAGUUAUUGAGAGCGACUGUGCGAAUGUCAUCCAAUAA